This 58-nucleotide transfer RNA is filed under the name Trimorphodon biscutatus. RNAcentral describes it as "tRNA-Ser". The record is from RNAcentral. Lineage: Eukaryota; Metazoa; Chordata; Lepidosauria; Squamata; Colubridae.
GGGUGUUAUAAGACCUGCUAACUCUUUUUCCUGGAAAUAAUUAACCAGCUCCCUCUAC